CUAAAUGGUCAUGCAGUUGCGUGAUGAUAUAGCAAAGCUAUAGAUCACGAGGAAAGUCCGGACUCUAUAGAGGUAUGGUGCCGGCUAAUCUCCGGCAGAGUAUUAUUACUUUAGGGAAAGUACCACAGAAAAUAUACCGCCGCAAUAUUUCGGUAAGGGUGAAAAGGUACGGUAAGAGCGUACCGGUAAGUUGGUAACAAAUUACGCAUGGUAAACCCCACCAAGAGCAAGAUCAAAUAGGCAUUACAGAACUUGUGUUUCCAAGUUCCCGGGUUAUCUCUAACCGGCUUGUAAUGUGGGUAGAUCGCUUGAGGUAAACGGUAACGUUUAUCCUAGAUAAAUAACUGCAAUGAAUUUCUAUUCAUACAGAAUCCGGCUUAUAGACCUUAAAAAU
This 394-nucleotide RNase P RNA is filed under the name Rickettsia canadensis str. McKiel. Its description in RNAcentral is "Bacterial RNase P class A". It matches the Rfam family "Bacterial RNase P class A". Rfam says of the family: Ribonuclease P (RNase P) is a ubiquitous endoribonuclease, found in archaea, bacteria and eukarya as well as chloroplasts and mitochondria. Its best characterised activity is the generation of mature 5'-ends of tRNAs by cleaving the 5'-leader elements of precursor-tRNAs. The record is from Rfam by way of RNAcentral. Lineage: Bacteria; Pseudomonadati; Pseudomonadota; Alphaproteobacteria; Rickettsiales; Rickettsiaceae.